This is a long non-coding RNA of Helicoverpa armigera (cotton bollworm), 374 nucleotides long. RefSeq lists it as uncharacterized. The transcript is spliced from 5 exons. Lineage: Eukaryota; Metazoa; Arthropoda; Insecta; Lepidoptera; Noctuidae. The record is from RefSeq and is a predicted model, not a curated record.
AGAAGAAGUUAUAAUGAAAUAGAACCUGAUGAAUUCGAAAAUACCAGAAGAAGUUACAAUGAGGCAGAACCUGAUGAGUUCGAAAAUACCCGAAGACGAGCCAUAAGUCUUGAAGAUACCGUUGAGGAUAUCGCAUCAAGUUUGAACUAUCGAAAUUCAAAAAUAAGUCGAAGGAUGUCGGACUUUCACCCUGGCAUGAAGACCACUAUCCUCGGUACCCCUACAAGGGCUAACCAGCUGCCCGAAGCUGAGCCUAUACUACCAGGACACACGUUGUUAAGACCAGCUCUGGGUAUGCUGAAGUCAGCCGUCAAGUUCCCCCACAAAGACCUCGAUAAUGGCGCUGGAGUUUAUGGGAAUAUUGAUAACCUGGG